RNAcentral lists this ribosomal RNA (271 nucleotides) under uncultured eukaryote. Its description in RNAcentral is "partial small subunit ribosomal RNA". It matches the Rfam family "Eukaryotic small subunit ribosomal RNA", at positions 1161 to 1452 of the family's 1831-position model. The record is from RNAcentral.
AGGGCACCACCAGGAGUGGAGCCUGCAGCUUAAUUUGACUCAACAUGGGAAAACUCACCCAGCCUGGACACGGACAGGAUUGACAGAUUGAUAGCUCUUUCUCGAUUCCACGGGUGGUGGUGCAUGGCCUUAGUUGCUGGAGUGAUUUGUCUGGCUAAUUCCAAUAACGAACGAGACUCUGGCAUGCCAACUAGUUAUGUGACCCUGGAGCGGUCGGCAUCCCCCAACUUCUUAGAGGGACAAGUGGCGUUCAGCCACCUGAGAUUGAGCA